This 373-nucleotide ribosomal RNA is filed under the name uncultured organism. Its description in RNAcentral is "partial 16S ribosomal RNA". It matches the Rfam family "Bacterial small subunit ribosomal RNA", at positions 527 to 896 of the family's 1533-position model. The record is from RNAcentral.
GUAGGUGGCAAGCGUUGUCCGGAAUUAUUGGGCGUAAAGCGCGCGCAGGCGGUCCUUUAAGUCUGAUGUGAAAGCCCACGGGCUCAACCGUGGAGGGUCAUUGGAAACUGGGGGACUUGAGUACAGAAGAGGAAAGCGGAAUUCCACGUGUAGCGGUGAAAUGCGUAGAGAUGUGGAGGAACACCAGUGGCGAAAGCGGCUUUCUGGUCUGUAACUGACGCUGAGGCGCGAAAGCGUGGGGAGCAAACAGGAUUAGAUACCCUGGUAGUCCACGCCGUAAACGAUGAGUGCUAAGUGUUAGGGGGUUUCCGCCCCUUAGUGCUGCAGCUAACGCAUUAAGCACUCCGCCUGGGGAGUACGGCCGCAAAGGCUG